Molecule: long non-coding RNA, 520 nt
Filed under: Elaeis guineensis (African oil palm)
Lineage: Eukaryota; Viridiplantae; Streptophyta; Magnoliopsida; Arecales; Arecaceae
Description: long non-coding RNA (EGUI_LNC035142)
Source: RNAcentral
UCAAUUAUUCAAAAUCUUACAAUUCCUAAAUUAUGAUGUCUUCACCUAAAAUGUGCUAAAUUUCUAAUUCUCAUCAUUUCUUAUUGGUAGGAAACAACUUGCCUCUGGUGAGAAAUUACGGUGGGCCUCUAAGAGAUCUCGAUGAAUGUGAUGUAACUCAUCCUCAUGAAUCCAAGUAGCAUCUAAAUCUGAUCGAUCCUACCACUUAAUCAAAAUCUUUGAAAUCCACAAUAAGCAGAAGAAACAAUCUCAUUAGUGAUAAUGCACUCAAUACGGUCCGAUGACUAUGACGGAAGUGGAGGAAGAAUUAGAUCUAGCACUGAAGAUGUAGUGCAACCAGUAGGAACUCCUGCAUGCAUAGUAGAAAGCUCAAAUGUGCUCUGAUAAGAAUAUAAGUCCACAACAUUGAAAUUAUACUAAAUUUCAAAUCAAAAGAUAACUCUAAAUAAUAAGCAUUAGAUCCAAUUCUAUUCUCGACGUGCGAACAAUUUCUGUUUGUUCGCUGAGUUUAUCUCUUCAU